Molecule: ribosomal RNA, 460 nt
Filed under: uncultured bacterium
Lineage: Bacteria
Description: partial 16S ribosomal RNA
Rfam family: Bacterial small subunit ribosomal RNA
Source: RNAcentral
CCUACGGGUGGCAGCAGUGAGGAAUAUUGGUCAAUGGGCGAGAGCCUGAACCAGCCAAGUCGCGUGAAGGAUGAAGGAUCUAUGGUUUGUAAACUUCUUUUAUAUGGGAAUAAAGUGAGGUACGUGUUCCUUUUUGUAUGUACCAUAUGAAUAAGCAUCGGCUAACUCCGUGCCAGCAGCCGCGGUAAUACGGAGGAUGCGAGCGUUAGCCGGAUUUAUUGGGUUUAAAGGGUGCGUAGGUGGUUAAUUAAGUCAGCGGUGAAAGUUUGUGGCUCAACCAUCAAAUUGCCGUUGAAACUGGUUGACUUGAGUACAGUAGAGGUAGGCGGAAUUCGUGGUGUAGCGGUGAAAUGCUUAGAUAUCACGAAGAACUCCGAUUGCGAAGGCAGUUCACUGGACUGCAACUGACACUGAGGCACGAAAGUGUGGGUAUCAAACAGGAUUAGAUACCCGGGUAGUC